Molecule: long non-coding RNA, 497 nt
Filed under: Prunus persica (peach)
Lineage: Eukaryota; Viridiplantae; Streptophyta; Magnoliopsida; Rosales; Rosaceae
Description: long non-coding RNA (PPER_LNC005089)
Source: RNAcentral
CCCACUUAACACUUUUUCUCACUUUUUCUUUUCCCUCUCAACUCUCUCUCUCUCUCUCUCUCCCCAUCAUCACUCUGCGACCACCACCACUUUCUGUCUCAGCCCUCUCUCGCGAAACCCAUCUCAUUCUCUCAUCUUUGUAUUCUGAAUCGUGAAACCCACCAUCGACCCCAUUUUCUAGCUCUCUCUUUCGAAUCGCCUAAAGUCGCAAUUGCUUUCAACCUCGAAGCUCAACUUCAUCGCCGACCUCCAAUAGGUUGUCUUCUUUUAUUCUUUGGUACUUUUCUAAAUAUGUGUGGGUUUCUAUAAAAUGGGUUUGUUUUGAUCGCUUUGGUUUCAUUCUUUUAGUUUUUAUGGUCAUUUUCUUCAUCUUUGUGGGUUUCUCACAGAAUUUGAUGUUGUUAUUGCUCUGGGUUAUCUAAUUUCAUAAUUUUAUAGUGUUAAUGGUUUCUAUGAAUCUUGAAACUAGGUUGUUCAAUCUAAUGUAAAAGUUUCUG